RNAcentral lists this ribosomal RNA (253 nucleotides) under uncultured bacterium. RNAcentral describes it as "partial 16S ribosomal RNA". It matches the Rfam family "Bacterial small subunit ribosomal RNA", at positions 524 to 776 of the family's 1533-position model. The record is from RNAcentral.
UACGGAGGGGGCGAGCGUUAUUCGGAAUUAUUGGGCGUAAAGGGCGCGUAGGCGGCUGUACAAGUCAAAGGUGAAAUCCCUCGGCUCAACUGAGGAACUGCCUUUGAAACUGUACGGCUUGAGGCCGGGAGGGGGUAGCGGAAUUCCCAGUGUAGCGGUGAAAUGCGUAGAUACUGGGAGGAACACCAGUGGCGAAGGCAGCACUCUGGGACGUGACUGACGCUGAGACGCGAAAGCGUGGGGAGCAAACAGG